UAGCUCGACCAAGCCCUUCGCGUAGCAGGAACCGACGACCUCGAAUUUCUUGAGACUGUCAUGGCGGUGUCCUGGCAUCUGCCUCAGCUGUUCAGAGUCUCCAAGAGUCCAAGGAUGCCCCAUAUGACCCAGUGAUGAAACUAGUUACUUACAUGCAAGAUGAAAGUCUCGAGUGAAGGAGAGGCAUCGAGAAAAGAAACAAGAGAAAGAUAAUCAAAGUUUGGGGACCUGUUAAGAGAUAUAUGCAAGUGCUUGAGGCGAAGAUAUUUCCCUGGUACAGUUUGUGUACUGACAAUCUGCAUAAAGAUGUCUCGUAUUAUUUUAUUUUAAUGGAUGUCUACAGUUUUAUGUAAUUUUUUAAUAGAUGUCUACAAUUUUAUGUACAAUUGCUACUCUAUAAUUAUGUAAUGCUUCAGAGUUUA
Oryza sativa Japonica Group (Japanese rice) is the source of this 422-nucleotide non-coding RNA. Lineage: Eukaryota; Viridiplantae; Streptophyta; Magnoliopsida; Poales; Poaceae. The record is from RefSeq and is a predicted model, not a curated record.